UAAAAAAUGAUUCUCCGAGCAGCCGAGCCUAAAGAAGGUGAUCCAUGGCUCUCCUGCCGACAGGGUCGUCGAGGAAACGCGGCGGCCUCCCUUUGGAAAGGAGAAGGGCUGCUCUGCUU
Regulatory RNA element from Synergistes jonesii, 119 nucleotides. It matches the Rfam family "Molybdenum/Tungsten riboswitch aptamer (Moco RNA motif)". NCBI's taxonomy places the organism in Bacteria, Thermotogati, Synergistota, Synergistia, Synergistales, Synergistaceae. The record is from Rfam.